UUCAGACUCACUCUGAUGUCUCCUCUUGCGUUUGGUGGACAGUUUGCUCCCCAUAUUCACUCUCUCACCAAUGAAACAAUGACUGAUCUGACCGGUCUUUAAGGUUUCUAUCAGUUUACUUCAGGGUCAUUUUGAGCUGAACAAACACACCUGAGGACUCCACACAGUCACUGCAGGUAAAAUGAAAAUCCAGGUGAAGGUAAAUGGACCCAGAGGAGAGGAGAAGGUCAUCGAUCUGUGCGACAGUGAAGAGCAGCUGAAGAGGUUCACUGUAAUGCAACUGAAGGAGAAAAUUACUAAAGAACUCGUGAUAGGGGAAGACAUUCGGAUGGUCUUCAGGACCGAGCAGCUGCAGGAAUCAUCCCUGCUGUUGUCCUAUGGGAUUAAACACUUGUCCACCAUCCACACACUGCUGAUGCUGCCUGGAGGCAUCUGAUGUGGACCAGACGCAGAAGAAAAGAUCACAGACUGUAAACCACCUCAACUGGACUAAUAAUAUAUUAUGAGCUCAAAAACAAGCAUUUGUAAAAACAAAUAAAAUGUAAAUGAAAUUAUUAAAUUAAUACAUUAUAGUUAAAUUAAAAUGUAAAUUAUAAUGUAUAAUAAUAUUAUACAUAUAUGUUUAAUAAUAAUAAUUUCUUUCUUUUCAUUGAGUUUGCUGAAUAAAAUUGCAGAGAGAGUCUGUCAAACCUAAACGACUGUAAACCUGUUUGGUCUGAGGGAAAUUUGGGGAUUUUUGUUAUGCUACCAGUUAUUUCCUUUGACAUUGUAAGGGGAACUUGUGCUUCAUUAUCAGGCUGUUUUUUGUAUUUUUCUUCUACUCUUCCUUUAGCCACCAAAUCAGUGCUUUCAUUACAACUGGGUGUGUCGAUCAAUGAUGAUUAUCACAGGUAGCUUUUACCGGUAUAGGCGUUUGUAAGAGGGAUGAGGGUUUUCCCUGCACGGAUGCCUAUAAAUAGGUACCAAUCAUAGGCCAAUCUCAAAAUGACACUGCCAAUAAAAUAAGUAUAUUUGUGAGACAAUACUUAAGCUAAUGUUAUGAAUUAAAUUGGAUUCUUCUGUUUAAUUUUUAUCUUCCAUGUGUUGAACCAUAUUGAUGAAAUUCUGACAUAAUUAAGUAUCCAUACCAUUGUUUGAUUGAAAUUAAAAGAUUAAAAACACUGUGAAAUUGACAGUAAGGUCUAU
Molecule: long non-coding RNA, 1185 nt
Organism: Dicentrarchus labrax (European seabass)
Lineage: Eukaryota; Metazoa; Chordata; Actinopteri; Moronidae
Exons: 3
Source: RefSeq, a predicted model, not a curated record